Molecule: ribosomal RNA, 497 nt
Filed under: uncultured bacterium
Lineage: Bacteria
Description: partial 16S ribosomal RNA
Rfam family: Bacterial small subunit ribosomal RNA
Source: RNAcentral
GAUGAACGCUGGCGGCGGGCCUAAUACAUGCAAGUCGAGCGAACAGACGAGGAUCUUGCUCCUCUGACGUUAGCGGCGGACGGGUGAGUAACACGUGGAUAACCUACCUAUAAGACUGGGAUAACUUCGGGAAACCGGAGCCAAUACCGGAUAAUAUAUUGAACCGCAUGGUUCAUUAGUGAAAGACGGAUUUGCUGUGACUUAUAGAUGGAUCCGCGCCGCAUUAGCUAGUUGGUAAGGUAACGGCUUACCAAGGCGACGAUGCGUAGCCGACCUGAGAGGGUGAUCAGCCACACUGGAACUGAGACACGGUCCAGACUCCUACGGGAGGCAGCAGUAGGGAAUCUUGCGCAAUGGGCGAAAGCCUGACGGAGCAACGCCGCGUGAGUGAUGAAGGUCUUCGGAUCGUAAAACUCUGUUAUUAGGGAAGAACAAAUGUGUAAGUAACUAUGCACGUCUUGACGGUACCUAAUCAGAAAGCCACGGCUAACUACGUG